AUGGCCUCGAACAAGUCGCUACAUUUUUUAAUAACUCUGCUUUGUAAUCUUCAAUCUCAGAAAUACUUUUUGUGUGUUGUUUUUUUUCUUCUUUUGUUUACUAGAAUAUUAAAGCCAAUUUGCAGAGCAAGAGCAUCGAUAAUUGGUGUAUAUUGCAUUGAAGGUUGGCAAAAUCGAUUACCUGAGGCGAUUCUCCGUGCCUAUCAAAUUGUUCAGUUUUGA
Molecule: non-coding RNA, 222 nt
Organism: Vicia faba (fava bean)
Lineage: Eukaryota; Viridiplantae; Streptophyta; Magnoliopsida; Fabales; Fabaceae
Source: the annotation of a GenBank genome assembly